UUUAUACUACAAUAGAACCUUGCAGUUACAUUUAUAGAAAAUACCCGCAAUUCAAUUUCAUAUAAUUACAUUACAUAUAAUAAAUCCUAUUUUUGGAAUAGCUAUUGUCCAGAGGAAUUAUCUUUCUCUUUUAAAGACAUCUGAUUUUGUAGUUGUAGUUUUGAUCUGUAUGAUGGCAUGUUUAAUUUGCCUAUGGUAGCCUAAAGUUAAUACCAAGUCACUAUUUCAAACAUGGGUUUAGCUUUGUAGAAAUAAAGUGUUUCCAGUUUUGACUAUUUUUCUUUAAAAAUCCACGAGGGAAUUAUUCUUAUGCACAGCUGUCCUUAAUAAUUACAACAGUGGUCAUUUUAUUCAUAUAAUUAAAAAACACUUGCAAUUGUGUACCUAAUAAGUGCCGCAGCAGCAGAAGCAGAAGCAGAGUGGAGUUGCUCCACCUUGCAAAAGGGAAGAUAACAAUUGCAGCCCACGUGCUUCUGGCACGUGGGCUAUAUGGGUUUGUGGUUUGCGGUAAAUAGUUGUUAGCAGAAUAAAGUUUCCUUUGUUAACAGAAACACAAUCACCAGUGCGCAUCUGUGGUAUGUAAAGAGGAAAAUGCACAGUUCAUCAUCAUAAGCAAGGAGCUCUCGUUGAUCUUAGAUGAAUCAAAAAAACACAGGACAUGAUGUUUGUCUAUUCUUUGUGCCAAGGUGGUGAGCACUUCCAGGAAAUUAACCUUGUUUUGAGUGGUUGACGAUCGGCAAGUAUAAUUCAGAAGAAGAAUGUCUCUAAAAGAUGUUGAAUAGAUAUAUAUAAUCCAACCAAUGAGCAUGGACUAUCUGUUUUUUCAAUCUCACAGCUGAGAUGUUGAACCAAGGAAAAGAGGAAAACUCAAUAACCCAUGUUCUGUCUCAAGAAAACAGGUAUGUUUUAUUUUUCUUUAGGUUUUGGGGGCAUAAUGAUGAACAAUUUAAUGUUCUUUGUUUGGGAACACAUGUUCAAUCAUGUGUCAUCAGCAUAUAUGGAAUACAUAGUUGGAAAUAUGCUUUGGAGUUAUUAGUUUUGGUAUGUUUUUAUGGAGGGCGAGAGGUACUUUUAUAUUUUUACAGUGGAUCAUAUUUUUUAUAAAAAAACUAAGUUAGUUAGUGUAUAAGAUAAAUUGAUGAGAGAUUCUUCCUGUUAAAAUAAAAAGUCUGACACAAUUGAAAAACUGUUGUCAGAAAUAACCAAGGGAAAAGAUUUAAUGUUAUUAUUGAAAAAUCAUUUUGACAGUCUCAACAUUGCUGUACAUUAAUUAGCAUAAUAUCAUAUUCGAUAAGCAUGACUGACGUGGUCGAACGAAACCGAAUAUAAUGCAUGGGGAAGAAAGAACAAUGGAGUCCCUCAAACAAUUAACAACACGUGUAAGUUUAAACAUUUUCGGCUGAAAUACAAGUAUUUGGUAAAGUAGGUAUUUGGAGGUGAAUUUAUUGAAUUAUAAUCAAGUGUGUUUGUAGCUGAACACCUUAAAUAUCCUAGUCCGAGAUUAGCUCCUCUCAUGGCUUUUUGACAGACUCAAUGCUGUCUGUUCCGUUAGUGCCAGUCAUUAAGGACAGAGCUGGUAUGUAUGUAGCCUAGAUAAUUACAGGCCCAUUGCUUUACAGUAAACUGUCAACAAAUAUAGAGGUCAUAACUUUGCAGUUAAAGUGUCAGUAUCAUAAUAUGGGAAUUAUAUGAAGCAUUUCAUUUUUAUAAUACAUUUUUGAUGGCAUUGCAUAUUUCCAUCGAGUGUGUGGACAAUGCCGACGGAGUUCCUCGUGUGGUCGUCUAUGGCGAUAGAACAUUUGCUAUUUCUUCUGAACAAGAUACCAUUAUAGAGUGGACUGCUUCUGGUGAUGGACUAGGACCUUACAGGUUAGAUAAGGCAAAUCUAUAAUAAGACAAUAUAAAGGAAACACAAGGCACCUGCAACUAUUUGCGGAAGUGAAAGGAAUUGUAAUGACAUUACAAUUCCUUAUCCUCUAUUUAUGGUGGGAAGUUCCUAUGGUUUGAAUCAUAACCACGAGACGGUAAUUAUCUGAAACAGAGGACCAAAGCAGACCAACAUGAACGAAGGAAAGGUCAAGAUUUUGUAAGGAUCUAAAAAAAAAAAAAAAAAGGUAUGUUCUGUUUUGGCAAAAUCAAUUUACAGACAAAGAAAUAUAUAGUAUGUUGUCCGACAGAGAGGUCUAACUCCCUGUUAGAACUCUUGUGAACAAAUUGUUAGAAAGAGAAGUCCAAAUAGUCUUAUUUGGGAUUUUGAAGGACUAGGGCUGUGUAAAAAGUAGUUUUGAUAUUUCUUUAUAGAGGGAGAGAGUUACUGAUAUUUUUCACUGCGAGUGGUAUUUUCUAAAUAAAUCAUAUUUUAGUUUGGAAUAACAGAUUUUCCUUCUGUAAUAAAAAAAAGAUCCUCAACAUUGUUGUAACGUUUAAUUCAUACAAUGUUGAACACUGACGUGGUCUGGCGCCAGCAUGUAACUGCAACGUAAAAAUAUUCAGUGAUGAACCAUUAAAAUGGCGACUGUAAAUGGACUCCCCGUAAGUUUGUUUAAAAUAUUGUUGUUGCUAGCAUUUAGAGAAAUUCAGCAUUAAAUCAUGCAAUUUGCUGUUGAAGUGGAACUGGUCUCUAUGGGAAUCUUACGAUACUUGUUUUGAUGAUAUUGCAGAUAUCUAUCGAAUGUGUAGAUAAUGCAGAGGGAUUUCCUGGUGAAAUCAUCUACGAUGAUAUGACAUUUCCCAUUCCUUAUCAACAAGGGGCUGCUUUUGGUGCUGGACAUGGAGCUAACAGUUCUGUGAGACCUUUCCAAUCCCCCCAUCCUGAGGAUGAGGAAACUCCCAUGGAGUGGGAUCCUCCAGACUCAAACUGAUUCAAAGCAUCGUGGAUCUCCUCUCAAUCAAAUCACAUUCUCACCGGAGGAGGAAGAGGAGGAGGAGGAGGACACAGACACCUACAAUUCAGAGAUGAAGCUGAAAAGUAUAUUCAAUGCCUUUAUGACUAGCAGGUUCUUUGUAAUAUACCAACAUUCAGGGUUUAUAGCCAUGAAAGCAGCUCUGGAAAGGCUGCAUUUGGCCACUUAAAAUAUGAACUUCUUUUUACACACAACGAUGUGUGACUGAUGUGGGAAUGUGAAUAGUCUAAGACAGGGGUCUCAAACUCCCGGCCCGCGGGCCAAAUCCGGCCCGCCACGUCAUUUUAUGUGGCCCGC
Anarrhichthys ocellatus (wolf-eel) is the source of this 3200-nucleotide RNA transcript. It is a transcript of the gene named armadillo repeat containing 1, like, with no coding region annotated. The record is from RefSeq and is a predicted model, not a curated record. The transcript has 5 exons. NCBI's taxonomy places the organism in Eukaryota, Metazoa, Chordata, Actinopteri, Perciformes, Anarhichadidae.